UCCAGCGAGUCCACAAUGACCCUUUGCGAAUGGUCGGUGCUCCACAGGGUCACAGGGCACCGGUCCAUUGUCCUACACUUCACAACAGAUAAACAUUUAUUAAUCAGGACUGACCGGAGGCCCAUGUUUCACAGGGUUGGGAAAAAAAAAGCAAAAGCAGGAGGUGAUAAAAAAUAGGGGGAAGGAGGUAAAAGUGACCAUUGCCUCCAGUUGCAACUUCCACUGUUAGAUCAGUCAGGAGUACAAGCAGGAGAAUCUGUUAGAAAUGCUAAAAUUAUAAUUAAUAGGGUUUAGAUAUUAAAGCAUCUGUCAUUUCUGGAAUCCUUGGUAUCUUGGGGGGAAUGAAAGGACUGCAGAUAUGCACUUUCAAGGAAAAUGCUGACAGAAGAAAUCAGCUCUUCCUCCCUGCAUGUGUUCACUCUGCCUGCAAACGACGUGUCCUGUAAUGUAUUACGGAGCCACUUAUCACUUGAGGCAAGAUGGUGGAGAAGAGCCUGUCCUCAUGUCCCAGCAGUCCACGGGCUGAAGAGCAGAGCUGCUGCAGGAGUAAAUGCAUUGCUAUUUAUCAAAACAGCAGCAUUCGAUGAAUUGCUUUUUAUUGACAGACCCCUGAUUUUUGUCUCCAGAACUACAGUGAAAUCUAAAAUGGAGGCUAAAAAUACGAGGCCAUCUCUCUUGGUUAGGGUUAGAGUGGUGGGAUAUUAAUGCUGCGGAGGCGCGGCGGGGCCUGCCGGACCCCAGAGCCCAACACCAAACUGUUUUUCUUAUGCGGCCCCAGAGUGCAGUGACAGCAGACCCCUGGGGGCCACUCUGCCAUCUGUACAGUGGUGCGGAUCUGCACUGGCUAACUUCCGCUGCACUUCACACUUGUUGAGCGCUCCCUCUCCAUCUGUCCAUCACCGCACCCUCCCGCCCGACUGCCCCUGGCCUUGGCAUGUGUGCCAUGUGUCUGCUGCCAAGGGAAAGAGGGAGAAAGAGGAGAAAAAAGAGCGAGAGAGCGAGAGAGAGACAGGGGAAGAGAGCAGAGGGAAAAAAACAGUAGGCAGACAGUGGAUGACAUUGUGCGCCAACAGGCAGAGGUCACACUCGCUGGGCAGGAAACCAAGCAAUAUUAUCGACUGGACUUUCUGCAGGCCGCUGUCGCUGCCGCUGGGCCGAAACACAAACCUGCAAAAAAAAAUCCCUCCCUGCACGAGCAAAGCGUUCAGUUGACGCAAUAAUAUUGUAUUGCAGCUUCUGCCUGUGCAGAAGCCUGUGCACUGCAUUGAUUUCUGUUGGGUGUACAGUGAGAAUUUGUAGCUUGCAGUAAUGAGAAUGUGACGCUUUGCAAGUGCAAGGGCUGUAAGUGCGUGUGCUGAAAUUAAACUCACUAAAACAUGCCCCUGUCCACUGAUUGUUCUAAUAGUUUAUUGUAAUUUUUUUUUUCAUUUGCCUUAAUACCGUUGCAGUGCACAUGUUACUAUACUACAAUGAAUACAACAAACACAAGCAGUUUACAGCAAAGAGUACAGUACCAGGACUGAUUUUUACAGUUAUGUAAGUGUACUAUGAUAAUGUGUGUCUCUGUGUGUGUAAGUGUGUGUGUGUGUUGAGAUCAAAUGCACAACAGUUCAUUUCUGUGUGAGCAAAUCAUUGAUUUGACGACACAAUGAUAUUGUACCGCAGGUUCUCUCUACUCAUGCACAGCGUUGAUUUUUGUCCUCUGUGCCUCAUGCAUUAGCAGGUUACAUGUGGUGGAAUGAAAGUGAGAAAAUAUGUGUCAAUGUAUGAAUUAACUGCUUAAUUGCUUAAAUUCAUUUUCUGUUGCAUUACAGUACAGUACAGCAUUACAAUAAUUAGUAGUUACAUUGCACAGCAUUCUUUAUUCACUACAGUUUACAGUUGCACAGUACAGUGUACUAUGAGUGUGUGUGUGUGUGUGUGUGUGUGUGUAUGUAUGUUGAGAUCAAUUGUACAACAGUCCAUCUCAGUGUGAGCAAAGCAUUGAUUUUGAUGCAGUGAUAUUUUACAGUAUGUUCUCUGUGCUCAUGCACAGUGCUGAUUUCCAUUCUCUUCGCCUUAUUUUUUUUGUGAUCAAGAAUUUUUAUUUUUUCAUAUAAUAUUUAAACAACAACAAGGGGAGGGGGAGCAGCAGACAGGCAUAAAGAGUGGAUGCGAAAGAGAAAAUUCUCUUCGCCUUAUCCAGUAAUAGCAAGUUAUGGGAAUGACCGUGAGAAAAGAUCUGUACAUGCAUGAGAAAGGAUGAUGAGUUGUGAUUAAACAAGUAUUUUAUUGCAAUCUUUCUGUCUAUUGUAUUACGACACUGUUGCAUUGCACAGCAUUGACCUCUAUUCUUCAUCUAUUAAAACAUGAGUGGCUUACAGUAAUGAGUACAGUAACGGGACAGAUUUUUUACACGCUUAUGCAAGUGUAUUAUGAGCGUGUGUGUGGUGAGAUCAGUUGUACAACAGUCCAUCUCUGUGUCUUUUUUUUGAGCAGUGCUGAUUUCUGUUCUUUAUGUCUUAUGAAUUUAGCAGAUAACUGGAAGGUCAGUUAAUGAGACUGAUCUUUACAACAGUGUAUGUGUGUAGUGAGUACUAUGAAUGUGUGUAUGUGUAUGCUGAGGUCAAAUGUACAACAAUGCAUCCCUGUGUGAGCAAGGCAUUGAUUUUAAUGCAAUGAUGGUAUUGUUCUGCAGGAUCUCUCUGCUCUGCUCUCUGUGUCUUAUGCAUUAGCAUAUUAGCAGGUUACGGAAGUGACAGUAAGACUGAUUUUUACAAAAUGUACACAUUUACUGAGCAUGUGUGAAAAAAUCCCAUCUGAUGCCAUUAAAUAUUGUAUUGCUCCUCGUC
Molecule: long non-coding RNA, 2831 nt
Organism: Astyanax mexicanus (Mexican tetra)
Lineage: Eukaryota; Metazoa; Chordata; Actinopteri; Characiformes; Acestrorhamphidae
Exons: 6
Source: RefSeq, a predicted model, not a curated record